AACACGUGAGUAACCUGCCCUUGACUCUGGGAUAAGCCUGGGAAACUGGGUCUAAUACCGGAUAUGACCUUCCAUCGCAUGGUGGUUGGUGGAAAGCUUUUGUGGUUUUGGAUGGACUCGCGGCCUAUCAGCUUGUUGGUGGGGUAAUGGCCUACCAAGGCGACGACGGGUAGCCGGCCUGAGAGGGUGACCGGCCACACUGGGACUGAGACACGGCCCAGACUCCUACGGGAGGCAGCAGUGGGGAAUAUUGCACAAUGGGCGCAAGCCUGAUGCAGCGACGCCGCGUGAGGGAUGACGGCCUUCGGGUUGUAAACCUCUUUCAGUAGGGAAGAAGCCGUGAGGUGACGGUACCUGCAGAAGAAGCGCCGGCUAACUACGUGCCAGCAGCCGCGGUAAUACGUAGGGCGCAAGCGUUAUCCGGAAUUAUUGGGCGUAAAGAGCUCGUAGGCGGUUUGUCGCGUCUGCCGUGAAAGUCCGGGGCUCAACUCCGGAUCUGCGGUGGGUACGGGCAGACUAGAGUGAUGUAGGGGAGACUGGAAUUCCUGGUGUAGCGGUGAAAUGCGCAGAUAUCAGGAGGAACACCGAUGGCGAAGGCAGGUCUCUGGGCAUUAACUGACGCUGAGGAGCGAAAGCAUGGGGAGCGAACAGGAUUAGAUACCCUGGUAGUCCAUGCCGUAAACGUUGGGCACUAGGUGUGGGGGACAUUCCACGUUUUUCCGCGCCGUAGCUAACGCAUUAAGUGCCCCGCCUGGGGAGUACGGCCGCAAGGCUAAAACUCAAAGGAAUUGACGGGGGCCCGCACAAGCGGCGGAGCAUGCGGAUUAAUUCGAUGCAACGCGAAGAACCUUACCAAGGCUUGACAUGAACCAGACCGGACUGGAAACGGUUCUUCCACUUGUGGCUGGUUUACAGGUGGUGCAUGGUUGUCGUCAGCUCGUGUCGUGAGAUGUUGGGUUAAGUCCCGCAACGAGCGCAACCCUCGUUCCAUGUUGCCAGCGGGUCGUGCCGGGGACUCAUGGGAGACUGCCGGGGUCAACUCGGAGGAAGGUGGGGACGACGUCAAAUCAUCAUGCCCCUUAUGUCUUGGGCUUCACGCAUGCUACAAUGGCCGGUACAAAGGGUUGCGAUACUGUGAGGUGGAGCUAAUCCCAAAAAGCCGGUCUCAGUUCGGAUUGGGGUCU
This 1184-nucleotide ribosomal RNA is filed under the name Arthrobacter sp. Its description in RNAcentral is "bacterial SSU rRNA". It matches the Rfam family "Bacterial small subunit ribosomal RNA", at positions 112 to 1306 of the family's 1533-position model. The record is from RNAcentral. Lineage: Bacteria; Bacillati; Actinomycetota; Actinomycetes; Micrococcales; Micrococcaceae.